RNAcentral lists this ribosomal RNA (429 nucleotides) under Triticum aestivum (bread wheat). RNAcentral's name for it is "partial small subunit ribosomal RNA". The record is from RNAcentral. Lineage: Eukaryota; Viridiplantae; Streptophyta; Magnoliopsida; Poales; Poaceae.
AUGAACUGCGGCAGCAGCAGCGCGUCGCCGUGGCGCUGCUGCGGGACGUCGCGGCGGAAGCGGCCGCGGAACGCCGGCCAGCCGCGGAAGUCGUCCACGCAGAGGAUGGCCGGGGACAGCGACAGGUUCCUGGCCACGGCCGCCAUGUGCAGCGCCGAGGCGCCCAGGAACGCGCCCAGCUCCACGAUCACGUCGGGGCGCACCUCCUCGAUGAGGUCCGCGAACACCGCCCCCGUCGACCCCCACCCGCGCGGCCGCGCCGCCGCCGGGUGCAGCAGCUUCGCGGUGUGCUCCGGCGGGAAGCUCGCGUACGGGCUCUCGCCGUCGAACAGCUUGUCAAGAAGCGUCUUCACCACGUCCUCGGCCGGCACCGCCUCCCCGCACUUGUCCCCGAACCUGAACAGGUCAUGCGGCGGCGAACGCGGGUAG